UACGAAGGGGGCUAGCGUUGCUCGGAAUUACUGGGCGUAAAGGGCGCGUAGGCGGCUCGUUUAGUCAGGCGUGAAAUUCCCGGGCUUAACCUGGGGACUGCGCUUGAUACUGGCGGGCUUGAGGGUGGAAGAGGGUCGUGGAAUUCCCAGUGUAGAGGUGAAAUUCGUAGAUAUUGGGAAGAACACCGGUGGCGAAGGCGGCGACCUGGUCCAUUACUGACGCUGAGGCGCGACAGCGUGGGGAGCAAACAGG
RNAcentral lists this ribosomal RNA (253 nucleotides) under uncultured bacterium. RNAcentral's name for it is "partial 16S ribosomal RNA". It matches the Rfam family "Bacterial small subunit ribosomal RNA", at positions 524 to 776 of the family's 1533-position model. The record is from RNAcentral.